This 2618-nucleotide unclassified non-coding RNA is filed under the name Neodiprion pinetum (white pine sawfly). RNAcentral's name for it is "zinc finger CCCH domain-containing protein 10-like, transcript variant X1". The record is from RNAcentral. Lineage: Eukaryota; Metazoa; Arthropoda; Insecta; Hymenoptera; Diprionidae.
ACUUGGUAUUGGUUUCGGAAAACAGCCUGGAUAGCGCAGAACGUGUAUUACGGGAGUCACUUGACACUCAUCCACCCCUGCGAUUGUAGAGACGUUUCCACAAAGUAGAAACAUCAGUGUAGCCAGUAGAGCUGUUGUUCAUGGAUACCUAGCUGGUUCUAGUUCACUGAGUCAUAACUAAAAUCAUAAGGACUUCCAAUGCCAUGCGGGCAAUAAUAUUCUUGACAAUAACUGGAAUGUGCCGAAAACACUAACACAUGGCAGGUGGUUCCAGUUCUAACGGAGAUUCUUCUCCAAGUCGAGUAUGUAGAGAUUUUCUGCGCAACGUUUGCCACAGAGGGAAGCGAUGUAAAUAUCUUCAUGAAAGAUCAGAAGAUGACCCAGCAGAUGAAUAUACUUUUUGUCAUGAUUUUCAAAAUGGGAUUUGCAAUUGGCCGGGAUGCCGAUUUUUGCAUUGCACCGAAAGUGAAGAAAAACACUUCAGAGCAACUGGUGAAUUACCACCGCGCAUUUUAUCGAAUUUGAAAUGUAACAAUGACAAAUCCGAACUACCGUUAUGCAAGGAUUUCAUCAAAGGCAGCUGCCAAAGAGUCAAUUGUAAGUACAGGCAUUACAAGAAGGAAGAACCACAGCAUCCUAUGGUCCCUCCGCCCCAUCAUACCGUUACGAGACCUCAACAUAAUUUUAACGGUGUCAGUAAUGGCGAAAAUCGAAGAUAUGAAGAAGAAAGAAGCUACCACUGGCAGAUGGAGGACCCGCAUCCACUGGUCCACAAUAAUGGCUACAAUCCUUCUACGCAUCCGCCUGAUUAUUUGGGGCCUCCUGAAGCAAAACGACGAAUUGUCUCUGGAGAAACUAUCUUGCAUUUCGAAACGUCACCUCUGGUAGGACAGCAUCCAACCCAGCCUGUAACUUCUAGCUAUUACUAUCCUGUAAUCCCCAGAAAUGAAGCUAGAGCUUUUAAUCUCGAAGAUGAAAAUGCAUUGCUGAAAAAAAAGAUUGAGGAACUAAAAAAGCAGGUCAACGAUUUAACAGCGACAAAUGAAUUCCUACUGGACCAAAAUGCACAACUAAGAAUGUCUGGUAAAAGGACAACUAAUGUAACUGCUGUAACAGUCCCAGCAGUUACGAUAACAAACACUGUACCUCCAUCUCAAGCUCCAACACCUCAACAGAUGGUUAAUGCUGCUGUAGCAGCUGGAACACUGCGAACUGUUACAGCUAGCGUUGCAACUGUUCCUGUGAGCAUAGCAACAGUAACUCCUGUAUCAAUCGCUGCUGUUUCCAUGGCACCGGUGUCUAUUCCUCCACCGAUUGUCACGAUGGCUCAACAAACUAUUAGUAUGAGUGGUUCGGGUCCUCAGCCUACCAACCAACAAGCACCGAACGCUCAGCAACCAACAAACUUACCACUAUCAAUAUCUGGUCCAACCGCACCACUCGUUUCUUAUCCAAUUAUGACACAAGAACUGAGACCUGUCUUACAAUAAAAGAUUAUUCUUUUAUUGAAGUUAAAAAAACACCAACUCAUUUAAAUACUGUAUUAGGGAGCCUAAGAUCAAAACCAUGAUUCGUAACAUCCCAGCUAAAACCGUAUAAAAUCAAAAGAUUAGAUGACUCUUGACCCGGCUAGGUGGGUAGUAACGGUCAAGAACGCAGCUGCUUCGUGGGGGGCCAUUUCUGCUAUGUCAAAACAAAUAGAAUGGUCUCGUGGACAGGCGCUGCGCUAUCGGCGUAUGAAAAACGUGUCAUUGGUAUUUCAGGACUAUCAUGUAACUACAUUCCGGAAAUCAGACAAGAUAUUAUCGAACAGGUCGGCUCAAUUUGUUCACAUUUUUGAGUUCAGGAUCAUAUAAUAGAUUUUAUACGGUUUUGGCCAGGAUGUUAUGAGUCAAAAAUCAUGGUCGUGAGCUGCCGUAAUAUACGUGUGUUCUACUUAUCGUAAUGAUCAAGAAAUAUAAGCCUACGAAUAGUUAUAUUUUAUAUACAAAAAUAGAUUGCUAUAGGUACUUUUAUUGUCCCAGAUACUACUAAACAAAGCUUGCGAAAUUUGUUAGCUUAUUGGUUGUUUUCCCUCAUAUUAACGUAGCAGGCUUCUUUUCAUAUUUUCAGUAAGAUAUUUUUCUUCUUAGAAGUGGUAGAGUGGAGAAUUCAUUUAUCAUUGAUUGUUAAAUGUUUCUAAAGCAAAAUAUUACAUAUUUAUAGAAAAGAAAUGUCUAAUUUGAUACAAGUCUAGAAAUUCCAGACAAAUAUAAUAAAUUGUGAAAGAUGAACUGUAUACCAAUCCCGAACAGGUGUAGAGCCUUGAAAGUUAUUGUGUGUACUUUGGUAAGUUCGUUGACUGAAGAAUAUAAAGACAGUUGCCCUAAUGGGUUUUGGUGUGACAACCGAAAAUCGUCGUGCGCUUGCACCCCCUGAGAUGUUCCAACGGUAGAGUUGAGAAGUUAUUGCAGAACAUCAAGAGAGUUGCCGAUUUCGACAUGAUGCUGGCUGCAUUCACCUUCCGAGUAACGCAGUCUUCGCAACGGUAAGCCCAAGCCAGUACUUAACCUGUGUGUACUUACCGACUUGUCGGCGAUACAAGAAAUCAAUAAUGAGAAUAAAUUUCUUCCAAAGUU